GCAAUGAUGGUUCAGUGGUAGAAUUCUAACCUUCCAUGUGGAAGACCUGGGUUCGAUUCUCAACCAUUGUA
RNAcentral lists this transfer RNA (71 nucleotides) under Loxodonta africana (African savanna elephant). It matches the Rfam family "tRNA". Rfam says of the family: Transfer RNA (tRNA) molecules are approximately 80 nucleotides in length. Lineage: Eukaryota; Metazoa; Chordata; Mammalia; Proboscidea; Elephantidae. The record is from Rfam by way of RNAcentral.